This 430-nucleotide ribosomal RNA is filed under the name Callobius claustrarius. Its description in RNAcentral is "partial 16S ribosomal RNA". Lineage: Eukaryota; Metazoa; Arthropoda; Arachnida; Araneae; Amaurobiidae. The record is from RNAcentral.
UCUGCUCAAUGAAUUUUAUAUAGCCGCAAUUUUAUUGUGCUAAGGUAGCAUAAUCACUUGUCUUUUAAUUAAAGACUAGAAUGAAAGAUUUAACAUUUAAAUUAUUAUUUCUAAUUUAAUUUUUUAAAUUAUUCUAAAUAUAAAAAAAUAUUUAUUAUUAAAAAAGACAACAAGACCCUAUUAAACUUUACUAAAGUUUAACUGGGGUAGUUAUUUAAUUAUUAUUUUAAUAUAAAUACUUAUAAUCUUCUAAUAUUAUUAAAUUAAAUAAGUUACUAUAGGGAUAACAGCGUAAUAAUUUUUUAAAGAUCUUAUUAAAAAAAUAAAUUACGACCUCGAUGUUGAAUUAAUUAUCCUAAUAAAUGCAAUUACUUUUAUAGAAAGUCUGUUCGACUUUUAAUCAAUUACAUGAUCUGAGUUCAAACCGGAG